Molecule: ribosomal RNA, 406 nt
Filed under: uncultured bacterium
Lineage: Bacteria
Description: partial 16S ribosomal RNA
Rfam family: Bacterial small subunit ribosomal RNA
Source: RNAcentral
AUUGAACGCUGGCGGCAGGCCUAACACAUGCAAGUCGAACGAGUGGCGGACGGGUGAGUAAUGUCUGGGAAACUGCCUGAUGGAGGGGGAUCACUACUGGAAACGGUAGCUAAUACCGCAUACCCUCAGAUGUGCCCAGCUGGGAUUGGCUUGUUGGUGGGGUAACGGCUCACCAAGGCGACGAUCCCUAGCUGGUCUGAGAGGAUGACCAGCCACACUGGAAAGGAGACACGGUCCAGCGUCCUACGGGAGGAAGCAGGGGGGAAUAUUGCAAAAGGGGCGCAAGCCGGAUGCAGCCAUGCCGCGUGUAUGAAGAAGGCCUCCGGGUUGUAAAGUACUGUCAGCGGGGAGGCGUUACCCGCAGAAGAAGCACCGGCUAACUCCGUGCCAGCAGCCGCGGUAAUUC